UACGGAGGAUGCGAGCGUUAUCCGGAUUUAUUGGGUUUAAAGGGUGCGUAGGCGGGAUGCCAAGUCAGCGGUAAAAAUGCGGUGCUCAACGCCGUCGAGCCGUUGAAACUGGCGUUCUUGAGUGGGCGAGAAGUAUGCGGAAUGCGUGGUGUAGCGGUGAAAUGCAUAGAUAUCACGCAGAACUCCGAUUGCGAAGGCAGCAUACCGGCGCCCUACUGACGCUGAGGCACGAAAGCGUGGUAUCGAACAGG
Molecule: ribosomal RNA, 251 nt
Filed under: uncultured bacterium
Lineage: Bacteria
Description: partial 16S ribosomal RNA
Rfam family: Bacterial small subunit ribosomal RNA
Source: RNAcentral